UGGUCUGAGUACGAGCAACUUGCCAACAACCUUAAGUCGGGCUGACUAGAAGUCUAGUUGAUGUAAAGUUAGUUGAAGCAUAAAUAUAUAACCUUAGUCCUUUAUAUUUAAAAAAUGGAGGCCCAAUUGAGCCCAUUGAGAGCACAUCAGAAAACUCUUCAGCUAGUUCCAAAGUACUAUUACCAAUAAAUUUCGGACUUUGGCCCUUGUCAACCACUGGA
Molecule: long non-coding RNA, 221 nt
Filed under: Elaeis guineensis (African oil palm)
Lineage: Eukaryota; Viridiplantae; Streptophyta; Magnoliopsida; Arecales; Arecaceae
Description: long non-coding RNA (EGUI_LNC046758)
Source: RNAcentral